CCAACAAUGGACAACCUUUAAAGACCAUUUGCUACUGUGUCCCUUUUACAUAAUGUACUUCAUUAUGGAUACUAAUGUUAUGCCAGUUGAAAAUUUUUGCUAAUCUAAGAAAUUGGGAGCAUGAUUACAUUUCAUAAGCGACUAACAAAGUGCCAGCAGUCGCGGUCACACUUUAGCUUAAAGUAAAAAUUUGUAGAAUGCUAUAAAUAAAAAAGAAAUUUUUGUGGUGAAAUAUAAAAAUUUAUUAAUAUCUUUAUAGUUUAGAAGAAACAUAAAAACUGACCUCAAACAGGGAUUAGAUACCCCUUUAUGCAGUGAGCAAUAAAUAGUUCAUUCUAGGCAGUAAAAUUUUCAGAAUUCAAACCCAAAUAGCAUGGCGGUAGUUAAUAUAUUUAGGGGAACUUACUAAUUUAAUGAUAACCACCAAGAUCAUAUACGGCACUUAAUAUUUUACAUACCGUCGUCGUCAGAUAUACUAUAAUAGGAUAUCACAACAUGCUCAAUAAAAAGACAGAUCAAGGUGUAGACUAUGAUGCCGGUUUAGCGAGUUACUAUAACAAUUUUAUUCAUUCAGCGGUUUUAAGACCACCACACCUGUAGGACUUAAAAGUAAUAUUUAUUAUGUAUAUUAUAUGAAUACCUUUUAACUGUGC
RNAcentral lists this ribosomal RNA (653 nucleotides) under Levantina escheriana. RNAcentral's name for it is "partial small subunit ribosomal RNA". Lineage: Eukaryota; Metazoa; Mollusca; Gastropoda; Stylommatophora; Helicidae. The record is from RNAcentral.